AACGGGGGGGGCAAGCGUUAAUCGGAAUUAUUGGGCGUAAAGAGCUCGUAGGCGGUUUGUCGCGUCUGCUGUGAAAACCCGAGGCUCAACCUCGGGCCUGCAGUGGGUACGGGCAAACUAGAGUGCGGUAGGGGAGAUUGGAAUUCCUGGUGUAGCGGUGGAAUGGGCAGAUAUCAGGAGGAACACCGAUGGCGAAGGCAGAUCUCUGGGCCGUAACUGACGCUGAGGAGCGAAAGCGUGGGGAGCGAACAGG
Molecule: ribosomal RNA, 253 nt
Filed under: uncultured bacterium
Lineage: Bacteria
Description: partial 16S ribosomal RNA
Rfam family: Bacterial small subunit ribosomal RNA
Source: RNAcentral